UCAGACAGUCGGGUAACCGCUCUUGGUUAAUAGCCGGGGGAGGAAAGUCCGGGCUUCAUGGGAGACGGUGCCGGAUAACGUCCGGCUGGGGCGACCCAAGGGAAAGUGCCACAGAGAACAAACCGCCGCGGUGCGCCGCGGCAAGGGUGAAAAGGUGCGGUAAGAGC
Molecule: RNase P RNA, 167 nt
Filed under: Alphaproteobacteria bacterium
Lineage: Bacteria; Pseudomonadati; Pseudomonadota; Alphaproteobacteria
Description: partial RNase P RNA component class A
Rfam family: Bacterial RNase P class A
About the family: Ribonuclease P (RNase P) is a ubiquitous endoribonuclease, found in archaea, bacteria and eukarya as well as chloroplasts and mitochondria. Its best characterised activity is the generation of mature 5'-ends of tRNAs by cleaving the 5'-leader elements of precursor-tRNAs.
Source: RNAcentral